AAAAGAAGAAAAAAAAAGUUGGUUUUGAAAAUUUCUUCCACUAGCUGAGUGCCCAAAACAUCAACUUGUUUUGCCUUCUCUCUCCCUCAACCUUUCUCUUUCUCUGAACCGUACACCGCUCUCUAGUCUUCGCCUGAGGUUAUCAGGAGAUGGUCAUCUCUUUAUACCAGGGUACCAUUUGAGGAGCAGUCUACGAAAAAUUGGGUAUUGUAAGAGGUCUUACUUGGCCAGGUUGACAUCUAUUGAUUGCUGACAUGGAGGAUGAGAAUGGCCUGGAGCUUAGCCUUGGUUUAGGUUGUGGAGGAUCAUCUGCGAAAUCCAAAGGUAAAAAUGGCUCUUCAGAUACUAGGACAGAAGAAGGUGAUAGAGGCAACAAAUUGGUAGAUGAUUUCAAAAACUUUCUUCAUGCUAGUACCCAGAAGCAGGAUUCAAGUGCUGGGUCUCAAAUAAGUGAUUCUGUGAAACCUCAGGAGAACUUCUUUAAUGACCUGUCCAAGGGCAAUGCUGAUGCAAAUGCUUCAAUAAACUUGAACAAUAGGGGGCUUUGGGUUUCGAGCGGCAAAAGACCUGCUGAAAUUGAAGAAGAAAAAAGACCAGAGGCAGGUAACAAACGUAAAAUGUUAUUUGAUGAGAUAAAUAAUCAGAAGAAGCAUGAGAGAGAUGCUUAUCAUUCUGAUGUACAUGACAAGAAAGCGUCACAUAUUUCCAUAACAACAGAAGAUGGCUCUACUGCUGAAAAUGAAGAUGUGGCAGAGUCUGAAGUAGAGGGUUCAAUUUCACGGUUGGUCUCUCAUCAUGAUGAUGGCUCCAAGCGUUUUAUUGGAGCUGGUGGUCGUGAGGGUCCAAAGCAGGUUCAUGGGUUUUUUGAUUCUAGUGUUGUAGACUUAAAAGGGCAAAAGAGGCCUAAUGGUUCAUCAGAAUCUGAAAUUAAGCAUGGAAACUUGAAUUAUGGAGUUCCAUUCUCUGUCCGACCAGUAAACAUCAUGAAUUUACCAUACUCAUUUCCUGUAAAAGAAUCUAACACUAUUGGUGUGCCCAGCUCUUCAGGCCAUCCUCUGCCAGGAAUGAUGCAGGUUACGUCAAAUGGUGAGCAGCGAACAGGGACUCAGUCUGUGAAUCCUGGAAAUUUGCCUGUAAUGUUUGGCUAUUCACCUGUACAGCUUCCAACGCUGGAUAAGGAUAACUCAUGGGGCUUGGUCUCUCAUCUUCAACAGCUCCAUCCUUCCUGUGCUGGCAGAGGACCAUCAAAUUCAGAUAAGCAAAAUGAUGUGUUGAAGAUUGCACCAGCCAUGCAAGGAAUUUCACGGAAUUCAUCUGAAGCUACACUGUAUGACGGGAGGACAUUAGAACGGGUCAAAGGUGAUGGCAAACAGCACAUUACAGAAGAAGGCUUCACGUCUCAGACUGAAGAUGAUGUAAAAGGAAGCAGCAUGAACCUUGGGCCAAAAGAUGCGCCUGGGCCAUCAACAGCAGAAGGUUUCUCCUAUGAUUUUUCUGCCAUAAAGCCCGGUAUUGCAUCAGACAUAAAAUUUGGUGGAUGUGGUUCCUAUCCAAAUUUACCAUGGGUUUCAACCACAGGUUCUGGCCCUCAUGGCAGAACAAUUUCUGGUGUCACUUACAGAUACAGUGCAAACCAAAUCAGAAUUGUUUGUGCUUGCCAUGGUUCCCAUAUGCUUCCCGAGGAAUUUGUUAGGCAUGCAAGUGAAGAGAAUGUCAAUCCAGAUAAUGGCACUGGGGUAGCCUCAUUUCCAAGUGCCAAUCCUGCUGCCUCUGCUCAGAGUUGAAGGUUAUCAUCUUUUUUCCAGCAGGAGCAAUCGAAUUCAGCAUAUGUUCAAGCAAAACCAGGUUAUGACCUAUAUCAUAUAUAAGACGCCUCUUUAGUUUUUGUUGUUCUCUUUGUUUUUUUAUUUGCUUUUACCAACUUAGUUGCUGCAUUCAAAUGUUGCAGAUAUAUGUAAUAAUGUUGUAGUAUCCAUAAAUUUGUUUCAUAGUAAUGUCAAAGCAGUUCAAUCUAAAAUUCCAACAGCUUCCUGUCGUUUGAAUAGAUUUCAUCAUGCCUGUGUGGUUGAUGAUUUAUGUGAUUUCAUUCAAUGAUAGUUAAUGGAGUACAUCAUGUCAAGG
Molecule: unclassified non-coding RNA, 2121 nt
Filed under: Hevea brasiliensis (rubber tree)
Lineage: Eukaryota; Viridiplantae; Streptophyta; Magnoliopsida; Malpighiales; Euphorbiaceae
Source: RNAcentral